Mustela erminea (ermine) is the source of this 104-nucleotide long non-coding RNA. RefSeq lists it as uncharacterized. The transcript has 3 exons. The record is from RefSeq and is a predicted model, not a curated record. Lineage: Eukaryota; Metazoa; Chordata; Mammalia; Carnivora; Mustelidae.
AAACCCAUCUAUGAAAAGCCCACCGUGAAUAUCAUUCUAAAUGGGGAAAAAUUGAGAGCAUUUCCCUUAAGGUUAGGAACACGGCAGGGAUGUCCACUAUCACC